CNGNNCAAGCANNGNAGUAUGUGGUUAAUUCGAAGCAACGNGAAGAACCUUNCCAGGUCUUGACAUCCAACUNACGAGGCAGAGAUGCAUUAGGUGCCCNUUCGGGGAAAGUUGAGACAGGUGGUGCAUGGUUGUCGUCAGCUCGUGUCGUGAGAUGUUGGGUUAAGUCCCGCAACGAGCGCAACCCUUGUGAUUAGUUGCUACGCAAGAGCACUCUAAUCAGACUGCCGUUGACAAAACGGAGGAAGGUGGGGACGACGUCAAAUCAUCAUGCCCCUUAUGACCUGGGCUACACACGUACUACAAUGGUCGCCAACAGAGGGAAGCCAAACCGCGAGGUGGAGCAAACCCCCAAAAGCGAUCUCAGUUCGGAUUGUAGGCUGCAACCCGCCUACAUGAAGUUGGAAUUGCUAGUAAUCGCGGAUCAGCAUGCCGCGGUGAAUACGUUCCCGGGCCUUGCACACACCGCCCGUCACACCAUGGGAGCCGGUAAUACCCGAAGCCAAUAGUCUAACCGCAAGGAGGACGUUGUCGAAGGUAGGAUUGGCGACUGGGGUGAAGUCGUGACAAGGUAGCCGUAUCGGAAGGUGCGGCUGGAUCACCUCCUU
RNAcentral lists this ribosomal RNA (608 nucleotides) under uncultured bacterium. RNAcentral describes it as "bacterial SSU rRNA". It matches the Rfam family "Bacterial small subunit ribosomal RNA", at positions 921 to 1532 of the family's 1533-position model. The record is from RNAcentral.